This 575-nucleotide long non-coding RNA is filed under the name Manihot esculenta (cassava). Its description in RNAcentral is "long non-coding RNA (MESC_LNC006509)". Lineage: Eukaryota; Viridiplantae; Streptophyta; Magnoliopsida; Malpighiales; Euphorbiaceae. The record is from RNAcentral.
AUUUAUGGUUUCUAUCUUGUUUUUACAGAAAAGGAAAGAAUUGGAAAAUUGGAGAAAAAAUGCAGAAAAUUGACAGAAAAGUGAUUGGGUCAGUGAUUUGCCCAGUGAUCUGCCCAGUUCAAGCUGAAGCAGAAACCUGGAGGCAACAGGCAGAAGUGAUAUGGGCAGUGAUUUGCCCAGGACACUCGAGGACACUGGCCAAAUCACUCGCAGAAGACAGAGAGAACUGACUGGCAGAAAUGUGAUCAGGUCUGUGAUUUGCCCAAUCCCUUGAAGAAACUGGUCAAAUCGCCGGGCAAAUCACUUCGACAGCAGAAAAUACAGCAGAGCGGGAAAUUGUUCAGGAAACCGAAUUUCAAGUUUUCAGAAGUCCAAAUCCAACUCAAUCACUACCAAAACAAUUCCAAGAGCCACGAAAGAGUUUCUCACCUAAGGAAUUCCAGUUGCAAUUAAAUUCAACAUCAAAAGAGGAGUCACAAGCCAAAUUAAAAAGGGAAUUCAAAACCCUAGAAGGAUGGAACUCUUCAACUAUAAAAGGGCAACCUCCAAACCAGCAAAGGCAUCUUCUGCUGAGG